CAGAGAGAGAGAAGAGGAAGCAGGCUCCCUGCUGAGCAGAGAGCCAUAUACAGGGCUUGAGUCCAGAACCCUGGGAUCAUGACCUGAGCCAAAGGCAGAAGCUUAACCCACUGAGCCACUGAGGCACCCCAGACCAUUCUUCAUUCAUUUAGAUGGAGAGGAAAAAAGAAUCACCAGCAGACUCUACUCUGAGCACCAACCAGGGACUCAGCCUCAGGACCCUGAGAUCAUGACCUGAGAUGAAACCAAGAGUCAGAUGCUUACCCGACUGAGCUACCCAGGUGCCCCACAAUAAAACAUCAUUAUUAAAAUAAAGUCAAUGUCAUUGUUUCUCAAAGGCCGUUUGAGGAACAGAUGAACAAAUUUUAAA
Molecule: long non-coding RNA, 370 nt
Organism: Mustela lutreola (European mink)
Lineage: Eukaryota; Metazoa; Chordata; Mammalia; Carnivora; Mustelidae
Exons: 2
Source: RefSeq, a predicted model, not a curated record